GUCAACUAAGAGUACAGAAUAGUGUUUAGAAACCACAGUUCUCAAAUUCAUUAACCUACCAACACAAUAAUCUUUCUUUCACCUUGACAGUUAGUUUGUUUUUUACCAUAGGUAAUGAAUCCAUCGGGACACUGGAUAACUUUUUUUUGCCCGUUUUGAGGACAAUACAGUGCCACUGACACGGCCGCUACCAAAACCUGCGGACUCUCCUUCACUGCAGCCGACGUGAGUAAAACAUUUAAACGUGUUAACCCUCGCAAAGGCUGCAGGCCCAGACAGCAUCCCCAGCCGCGUCCUCAGAGCAUGCGCAGACCAGCUGGCUGGUGUGUUUACGGACAUAUUCAAUCAAUCCUUAUCCCAGUCUGUUGUUCCCACAUGCUUCAAGAGGGCCACCAUUGUUCCAGUUCCAAAGAAAGCUAAGGUCCACAGACGACGCAAUCGCAACCACACUGCCCUAACCCAUCUGGACAAGAGGAAUACCUAUGUGAGAAUGCUGUUCAUCGACUACAGCUCAGCUUUUAACACCAUAGUACCCUCCAAACUCCCCAUCAAGCUCGAGACCCUGGGUCUCGACCCCGCCCUGUGCAACUGGGUACUGGACUUCCUGACGGGCCGCCCCCAGGUGGUGAGGGUAGGUAACAACAUCUCCACCCUGCUGAUCCUCAACACUGGGGCCCCACAAGGGUGCGUUCUGAGCCCUCUCCUGUACUCCCUGUUCACGCACGGCUGUGUGGCCAUGCACGCCUCCAACUCAAUCAUCAAGUUUGAGGACGACACUACAGUGGUAGGCUUGAUUACCAACAACAACGAGACGGCCUACAGGGAGGAGGUGAGGGCCCUCGGAGUGUGGUGUCAGGAAAAUAACCUCACACUCAACGUCAACAAAACAAAGGAGAUGAUUGUGGACUUCAGGAAACAGCAGAGGGAGCACCCCCCUAUCCACGUCGACGGAACAGUAGUGGGGAGAGGGUAGUAAGUUUUAAGUUCCUCGGCGUACACAUCCCGGACAAACUGAAUGGGUCCACCCACACAGACAGCAUUGUGAAGAAGGCGCAGCAGAGCCACUUCAUCCUCAGGAGGCUGAAGAAAUUCGGCUUGUCACCAAAAGCACUCACAAACUUCUACAGAUGCACAAUCGAGAGCAUCCUGUCGGGCUGUAUCACCGCCUGGUACGGCAACUGCUCCGCCUACAACCGUAAGGCUCUCCAGAGGGUAGUGAGGUCUGCACAACGCAUCACCGGGGGCAAACUACCUGCCCUCCAGGACACCUACACCACCCGAUGUCACAGGAAGGCCAUAAAGAUCAUCAAGGACAACAACCACCCGAGCCACUGCCUGUUCACCCCGCUAUCAUCCAGAAGACGAGGUCAGUACAGAUGCAUCAAAGCUGGGACUGAGAGACAGAAGCUGUUUUUCAAUCUCAAGGCCAUCAGACUGUUAAACAGCCACCACUAACAUUGAGUGGCUGCUGCCAACAUACUGACUCAACUCCAGCUCACUUUAAUAAUGGAAAUUGAUGGGAAUUGAUGAAAAAAAUGUAUCACUAGCCACUUUAAACAAUGCCACUUAAUAUAAUGUUUACAUACCCUACAUUACUCAUCUCAUAUGUAUAUACUGUACUCUAUACCAUCUACUGCAUCUUGCCUUUGCCGCUCUGUACCAUCACUCAUUCAUAUAUCUUUAUGUACAUAUUCUUUAUCCCUUUACACUUGUGUGUAUAAGGUAGUAGUUGUGGAAUUGUGAGGUUAGAUUACUCGUUGGUUAUUACUGCAUUGUCGGAACUAGAAGCACAAGCAUUUCGCUACACUCGCAUUAACAUCUGCUAACCAUGUGUAUGUGACAAAUAAAAUUUGAUUUGACACCAUAGCUGCCAGAUUUCUGCAGGUUCCCACCUCUCCACCGAUGUCCAUCCCCAUCAUACAUUAAUCUAUAUCUGACAGAGUCAAACUUUAAAAGGCCCAACGCAGACGUUUUUAUAUCAAUAUAUUUUACGGGUAUUUUACCAGGGUUCUAUCCAACCAUUUCAUGCUAAUGAAAAAAGGUAUCAACAGGACUGAUGGAAACAGGAAAUCUGCCUAAAACUUCCAAUGUUGAAAAUAAAAAUAUACGCUAGACAGGUGAUAUAUAUAU
Molecule: long non-coding RNA, 2130 nt
Organism: Oncorhynchus tshawytscha (Chinook salmon)
Lineage: Eukaryota; Metazoa; Chordata; Actinopteri; Salmoniformes; Salmonidae
Source: Ensembl